RNAcentral lists this transfer RNA (78 nucleotides) under Ignisphaera aggregans. RNAcentral's name for it is "tRNA-Arg". It matches the Rfam family "tRNA". Rfam says of the family: Transfer RNA (tRNA) molecules are approximately 80 nucleotides in length. Their secondary structure includes four short double-helical elements and three loops (D, anti-codon, and T loops). The record is from RNAcentral. Lineage: Archaea; Thermoproteati; Thermoproteota; Thermoprotei; Desulfurococcales; Desulfurococcaceae.
GGGCCCGUAGCUCAGCCAGGAUAGAGCGCCGGCCUGCGGAGCCGGCGGUCCCGGGUUCAAAUCCCGGCGGGCCCGCCA